GGGAAAAACCUCUCCCCAGUCAGUGGCUCCAGCUCAUUUCGUUGACAUGCGAGACAGGUACCUGGUCUAGCAUUUCUGCAAAAGGUUACACAAACCGCGGUCUUUUAGACAAGCGUUGGGCUGUGCUACAGGGUCUGCACCAGCUCAGAGAUUAUAUAUAUAUAUAUAUAUAUAUAUUUGCAUGCAGUCCUAAAGCUAAUGAGUACUUGUAUUAAAACGGGUCCAACCGUACUUUGGCAGCCUCUGACCCCAGAAUGCAUGGCUCGGUUUCAUUGAUCACCCCUCACCCCUUAUGAGAUAAUGCAAUUACAAACAUCAAUAAGGAGCUGCAAGGGGAAUCAUUAUGCGGUGACAGUGAUAAAUGAUGGUGCCGAAAUAGAAGGCUUUUUCUUUUUCUUUUUUUUUUUCUUCUAACAAUCCAGGAGCCCAGGGGCUUUGGGGGCCGAACACAGUCACCAAGGAAACAGCUGACAUCCAAAAUGGCACCAAAGGGGGGGGGGCAGGGGAAAGAAGUCUUUCUUUCGCCUUUCACUCGUCCCCCCUUCUUCCAAAGAGUUUAGUUUCGGCUUUAGAAGCAGCUGCCACACAGACAUUUAAGUUAUUCCCCACAGUAAAGACCAGGAAGAUUUUUUCUCUGUCCGCUACAUAAAAUAGAAAGCUGGCUGCUCGGAGUUUAUUAACUACUUUCAUGCAAGUUAUCGCGGGGAGCCAAGCAAAAGCAGAUCUCGCAUGUAUGAGCGGGAAUAUGCUUUCUCCCUGUCCCAAGGUUUAAUAUUCACCCUGCCACCUUCCCUCGCUUUAAGUGGCGUUUGCCUUCCGUCUAAGGCUGGUUUUUUUUGUGUCCCUACCAGAGCUUUCUAAUGGGCCCAAUAAGCGUGGUCCUAUGAGGGCUCCAAUAGCCAAAACCAAAGGGAAGCAAAUGGGUAUUUUUCUCAGGCAACCUAACAAGGUCAUGGAGCCAGGUAAAUACACUGCAAUUUUCCAGGCGAGUUCAGGAAGGCAGCGGUGGGAACAUCUGGCGAUCGAUGGCCCAGCCCUGGCGGAUUUAAAGGCAAGAUGGUGCAUUGUGAAGAAUAAAAACACGGACACUGGCUCCUUAAACGUGCCACUUUUUCCUCCCCCCCUGCCCCCCCCCCCGUGGCUGCCAGCUGUCAGCAGCGAGCCCCUUCGCCUUGGGAUGGGGCCGGCAGCGGUGGGAACAGGAGCUCGCCCCGCUCAGCUCCCUUCGGGGGCUUCUAGGUGUGGCUGAAAAGGCUCCCCCCUGGGUUUCACUUCGCUGGACGGGCUCCAGCCACACCCGCACCUUGCAGGGGCUUCCUUCCCACACAAAGCGGCUGCCCACACUCCAGGAAACAGAGGCUAAAAGCUUUUGCUUUGAAUGUGGGGUAGCUAGGAAACAGCAAGCAGCCUGCGAAGACGGAAUUCCCAACGUGUAAAACGGAGCCAUUGAGAGAGUGCAAUAAGGCGUGAGGGGGAACUAAUCUCCCCAUUUACAUGUUUGUGGCAAUUUUAUCUAAAUGAAUUUUAAUGCUAAACGAGGGAUAAUUCCCUAUUUGUAACCCGUUUACUUCUCUUUCCUGUGCCCCCAAAGCCGCCUAAGAUCGUGCGAUGAACAAUAACAAUAAAAAUACUGCCGAGCAUAUUCUU
Long non-coding RNA from Dermochelys coriacea (leatherback sea turtle), 1647 nucleotides. RefSeq lists it as uncharacterized. The transcript has 2 exons. The record is from RefSeq and is a predicted model, not a curated record. NCBI's taxonomy places the organism in Eukaryota, Metazoa, Chordata, Testudines, Dermochelyidae.